This 424-nucleotide ribosomal RNA is filed under the name uncultured bacterium. RNAcentral's name for it is "partial 16S ribosomal RNA". It matches the Rfam family "Bacterial small subunit ribosomal RNA", at positions 360 to 776 of the family's 1533-position model. The record is from RNAcentral.
AAUAUUGGACAAUGGGAGAAAGCCUGAUCCAGCAACGCCGCGCGUUUGAAGAGGGUAUCCGGAUUGUAAAGUACUUCACGUUGGGAGGAAGGGUGGUAGGUUAAAACCCUGCUAUUGUGACGUUACCAACGGAAUAAGAUCCGGCUAACUUCGUGCUAGUAGCCGCGGUAAUACGAAGGGUGCAAGCGUUAAUCGGAAUUACUGGGCGUAAAGCGGGCGUAGGUGGUUCAGGAAGAUGGAAGUGAAAUCCCCGGGCUUAACCUGGGAACUGCUGUCAUAACUGCUGAGCUAGAGUACGGUAGAGGGUAGUGGAAUUUCCUGUGUAGCGGUGAAAUGCGUAGAUAUAGGGAGGAACACCAGUGGCGAAGGCAACUACCUGGACUGAUACUGACGCUGAGGUGCGAAAGCGUGGGGAGCAAACAGG